AUGAAAACCGGCCCAGCCCUGACCCUGCAGCUCUGGGAUAGAAGUCCCAGCCUUGGGAUUCCCAGGUGUCUUAAUUCAGUGAUCAGGACUGAACAAACAGGAUUCACCAUGGAGUUUUUGCUGUGCUGGGUUUUCCUUUUUGCUUUAUUAAAAAAUGAUUCACGGAGAAGUGUCCAGUGUGAGGUGCAGCUAGUGGAGUCUGGGGGAGGUUUGGUUCAGCCCGGGGGGUCCCUGACACUCUCCUAUGCAGCCUCUGGAUUCACCUUCAGUAGCCAUGACGUAUACUGGGUUCGCCAGGCUCCAGGGAAGGGUCUGGAGUGCGUCUCAGCUAUUAAUUCUAAUGGUGUCACAUACCAGGAAGACUCUGUGAAGGGCCGAUUCACCAUCUCCAGAGAAAAUGCCAAGAAUUCUGUGUAUCUUCAAAUGAACAGCCUGAGACUGGAGGACACGGCUGUGUAUUACUGUGCGAGACACAGUGAUGUGAAUUCAGUGUGAGCCCAGACACAAGCCUCCCUGCAGAAACGUUGCAGGGAAAUCAGCUGCAGGGGGCGCUCAGGAGCCACUGAUCAAAGUCAACCCCAGAGGCAGGUGCACACGGAGGCUGAUUUCCUGUCAGGAUGUGGGACUUCAUCAUUUUACAGUUUCUCUAGGGAUCCUCACCAAGUUUAG
This is a non-coding RNA of Saimiri boliviensis boliviensis (Bolivian squirrel monkey), 669 nucleotides long. Lineage: Eukaryota; Metazoa; Chordata; Mammalia; Primates; Cebidae. The record is from RefSeq and is a predicted model, not a curated record.